This 251-nucleotide non-coding RNA is filed under the name Thalassionema frauenfeldii. The record is from RNAcentral. Lineage: Eukaryota; Bacillariophyta; Fragilariophyceae; Thalassionematales; Thalassionemataceae.
AAGCCAGCAACAACAAACAACAAGGAAAAGCAGACAUGAAUCCUUUCGUUGCUGUUCGCAAUCAACCAGAAGGGCGUCUUUGUUUCGUUAGUUUCACUUCACUACCUUUCAUUAUUCUAUUUCUAUUCUCCGAUUGGUAUUCCUCUUUUAAAUUGGCGAUGAUAUCGAAGCUGUUGAAAACCACAACGAUAAAAAAUAACUCAAAGAUUAGAAUAAUUAUUAUUUUAAUACUACUAUACUAUUAAAAAAAA